CUGUUAUCCCUAAAGUAACUUAAUUUUUUAAUCAUUAUUAAUAGAUCAAUAAUUCAUAAAUUAAUGUUAUUUAAAAAUUAAAAGUUAUUUAAAUUUUAAUAUCACCCCAAUAAAAUAUAACAAUUUUUAAAAAUAAAAAUAUUCUAAAAAAUUCUUAAAAAUAAUUAUAUAAAGAUUUAUAGGGUCUUCUCGUCUUUUAAUUAUAUUUUAGCUUUUUAACUAAAAUAUAAAAUUCUAUAAUAAAUUUUUAUGAAACAGCUUAUACUUCGUCCAACCAUUCAUUCCAGC
RNAcentral lists this ribosomal RNA (288 nucleotides) under Meracanthomyia kotiensis. RNAcentral's name for it is "partial 16S ribosomal RNA". Lineage: Eukaryota; Metazoa; Arthropoda; Insecta; Diptera; Tephritidae. The record is from RNAcentral.